CCUGCUGGUGUGGUGUAGUGUGGCGACUUCAGACUGUUGUAUGUUAAAUGCACACCGCACUACACAGCUUAAAUUGAAAUUGAAGAAGAAAAAAAAACUAAAAUUUGAAUUUUGUACGAGCAGUGUUGUGUAGAGUGCAAGUGAGCUGAAAAAUACCUACUAAUCAUAUCUAUAAAAACUCAUACAUUCGUGGCACAGGCAUCAGUCAGUAUCUGCAGUUGCUUAAACAACAGUAUCUGAAGACUUUCUUUUUGCAUCUUUUAUUUUUGUAAAACUACUUAAAACAACAAUCAAUCAACAUGCCUUGCCCCUGUGGAACCGGUUGCAAAUGCACUUCUCAAACUCAAACUGGCAAUUGUGGUUGCGGCGCCUCUUGCAAAUGCGGAUCAGGCGGUAGUUGCGACAAGGGCAGCUGCGGCAAGUAAAGUGCAUAUACUACAUUCGUAUAUUUUGUCUCUUUGAUUGGAUCGAAUUGUAUUUAAUUAAGGCUAAUUUAGUUUAUUGUUUAGAAUUUUUAUUGCAUAUCAAAUGUAUUAAUAUUAAGUGAAAUUUAUUUGACUUUAUUAUUAUCGUCAAUAAAAUACAAAAAAAAAUACAUAUGUAUUUGAAAACAUAAA
Calliphora vicina (urban bluebottle blowfly) is the source of this 617-nucleotide long non-coding RNA. RefSeq lists it as uncharacterized. NCBI's taxonomy places the organism in Eukaryota, Metazoa, Arthropoda, Insecta, Diptera, Calliphoridae. The transcript has 2 exons. The record is from RefSeq and is a predicted model, not a curated record.